GACGAACGCUGGCGGCGUGCUUAACACAUGCAAGUCGAACGGAAAGGCCCUGCUUUUGUGGGGUGCUCGAGUGGCGAUCGGGUGAGUAACACGUGAGUAACCUGCCCUUGACUUUGGGAUAACUUCAGGAAACUGGUUCUAAUACCGGAUAGGAGCUCCUGCUGCAUGGUGGGGGUUGGUAAGUUUCGGCGGUUGGGGAUGGACUCGCGGCUUAUCAGCUUGUUGGUGGGGUAGUGGCUUACCAAGGCUUUGACGGGUAGCCGGCCUGAGAGGGUGACCGGACACAAUGGGACUGAGAUACGGCACAGACUCGUACGGGAGGCAGCAGUGGGGAAUAUUGCAAAAUGGGAGGAAGCCUGAUGAAGAAACGCCGCGUGCGGGAUGAAGGCCUUCGGGUUGUAAACCGCUUUAGCGUGUGACGAAGAGUGAGUGACGGUAAUGGGUAAAGAAGCACCGGCUAACUACGUG
RNAcentral lists this ribosomal RNA (468 nucleotides) under uncultured bacterium. Its description in RNAcentral is "partial 16S ribosomal RNA". It matches the Rfam family "Bacterial small subunit ribosomal RNA", at positions 28 to 507 of the family's 1533-position model. The record is from RNAcentral.